Molecule: RNA transcript, 2729 nt
Organism: Pan troglodytes (chimpanzee)
Lineage: Eukaryota; Metazoa; Chordata; Mammalia; Primates; Hominidae
Exons: 6
Source: RefSeq, a predicted model, not a curated record
UGUCAGUCCUACAGAACAUUCUCUAUGUAGAGAGGAAAGUCACUACUGCAGAAGAGAUAACCUCCUAGGGUGCGUCCCCAGGGAUCCCAGCUUCUUCAGGCUUCUCUGAUCCAGUAAAAGUUACAAAACUUACAAUCAGUGGGGAAUUUCCUUAUUUGAAGUCUUGCCACUUCAGUGACUUUCUAAAUAGAAAUUAGAGAACCCAGAAAGGUUUUGAAAAAAUUUUUAGUUCUUCCUGGCAAUUGCAUGUAUAUUUUUUUCUGCAUGUUAUUUGGAUGUGAGGAGCUGUCAUUAUUAUUUUAGGAACAAAUAUGAAACAAUCUCUGGAAAAUGGAAUUUGAUUUUGAUUCAACAACAGGAGAAUUCUGUUUUUCUCCAGCAGCUCCACGAUAAAAGGGAACCCUGAGCAGAACACAUGCACAAACUCAUGCCAUACCCUAAGGGACAAGGUUCCCCACAUCUACUUGGAAAUCUUCGGGAUGCUCAAUGAAACACCCUCACAGACACACCCAGGAUCAAUACUUUGCAUCCUUCAAUCCAAUCAAGUUGACAUUCAGUAUUAAACAUCACAAGGCACACAGAUUCUCCCUCCACUUGCUGCUGCUGGAGGGUAAGGGAGAAGUGCUGUAUACAGGGCAGGCCUGCCUUUCCUAACCCCAUCGGUGCCUCUUUCCUUGAUAUGAUGUCAGAAUCAGAUUAGCUCUUUGGAACUGAGAGAUGAGAUGAGGCCUGGAAAACUUCCCCCAGUACAGUCAAGUUCCUGUUGACUAAUUCUGUGACCACCAGUGACAGUCUUUGAGUCCGUGAGGCAGCGUUGCGGCAGCACAGGCUUUGCUUGGAGUUGGAUGGUUCGCACCCUGCUUGGCAUGGUUUCUAAGAGACAUCCUCUGAGUGGAUGAGGGGAGAAUCCAGCAGGCCUCUAGUCACACUGGAGAAAAACAAGGAGAGAAAAAUCUAAACCCAGCAGAAGAGAAAGUUUAAGAAAGCGGUCGUCGCCAAUACCAAAAUUAGCUAUGAUAUUCAGGAAGAAAAAAAUGGAAACACGAUAACCACAUUCAAUAAAGACCAAGGCCGGAUUCCAUUGGCCAGAGCUCAGCCACGCGCCACACCUGGCUAAAGAGACUCUGGCUGAAGAAUUCCCUGAAUAUUUUAAUGUAGCUCUAGGUUAUAACACAGAACAACCACAAGGUGGCAGAAGAACUCCAUUCUUGUAAAUCUCUUAGUUGCUUCUUUAUUUCAUCUUCCCUAUUCCAUCUAAUGUUCCCUGAAUUUUACUAUUUUGUUGGUUUGAAAAUAUGUGUGACUUACGUCCUUUAAAGGAUUUGGUUCCUAAGGUUUUGAAUAGACUGGAAUAUAAAACAUUUAUAGAAAAGAAAAAUACCUACAGUAUGAUGUUAGUGAACUAUUAAUAAUUAAUCCAAUUAAAUAAAAUAUAUUUGCUUUGGAUUAAUACAUAUUUUGUUUUGAUGUUUGCUAAAUAACACUAAGCAUUAGGAGGUCAAAUAGCCACAACGAACAUUUUCAUAUUAUUUAAUAAGCCAGUUUCAAGGCAUACAUGCUAAAUUUGUUCUUAAGGAAAAGUUGAAUUUUUGCUUUCAUGAAAUUACAAACUCUAAGGCAAUUUUACACGUGUAAAUCCAAUGUGUUCUGAAGUUUAAAGUGUCAAAGGCUGUUGGAUUUAAACAGAUCUUGUAUGACUCUCUGUUUCAUCUCUUCAGAGGUUGAUAGUAAGCAACUUUGGCAGCAACUCACAGCUUCUGCUGUAACAUGAGGCUAAUAAUGACGACUUUAUAAGGUUGUUGCAAAGAGUCAGGGAUGCCACAAGCAACGUUCUUUAUAUAUGCAGAAUUUUAAAAAUAAAGUAAAUAAAAAUAUUCCUUCCUCUAUUCCCAAUUUUUCUAACAUUAUUUGCAACUGGUGUUUUAAUGCAAGACCAAAGGCUAAAAUAUACAUGUAGCUAGCAGAAUCAAAACCUAGAUCAGAUGUUCAAAAGCAUCAUGCUGCUAAAAGAUUUCAGAGUCUAAAACCUGUGCUCACUGUUCUGAAACAUCUUUCCACUUCCUGUUUAAAAAAAACCAUGAUAUUCUUUGAAGCUCAUUUUUUGGGCUUCAUGUGUUGUAAUUAUACAUUUGUUAUAUAGGGUAUAUGAUGACUUACGCUCUAAGGUGUUAUUCAGUACAUUGUAGAAAAAGGAGAAUAAAGAAUGUUGUUUGUCAGUAGGCAGCUCUGUCCUCUUUAUCCUUGACUGUAAUUUACUAAAGAGCUGACAAAAUUACAGCACAGGCAGCAAUUCACCAUAUUACCCUGCAGACAGCCAAGAGACUGACAUUGAGACGAUGCGUUUUAACUUGGGUCCAUGUAAGGAACCUGAUGGGGUUAUAUGAAUUCUUUUCUGUACUAUGAAAAAAUGAAGUUGCUUAUAAGAAGGAGGUACAAAAGUGUGUACUCUGCGCAAGGCUACUGAUAAAGAUGCUACAGGGAUGCGUGGAAACCCAAUAUGUAACACUGAAAUGGCUUUUGAUUCAUUUGUAUUUGGUCUCAGACAAGAAAAUAGAUUAAGAAAAGGUCUGAAAAAAUGGAGCACUAGGAAAAAUGAUAGGAAAUUUUGUGUUGUUGACUAACAGUUAUCUAAUAUGAAAUACACGUUUGUAAUAUUUUGACAUAUAUGAUUUAAUACAACUAUAUUUUGUAAUAAAUAUCUUUAAUUCUAAGGAUUGAAAAUCUUAAAA